This 1422-nucleotide long non-coding RNA is filed under the name Salmo salar (Atlantic salmon). RNAcentral's name for it is "lncRNA (ENSSSAG00000099763.1)". Lineage: Eukaryota; Metazoa; Chordata; Actinopteri; Salmoniformes; Salmonidae. The record is from RNAcentral.
CGCUGAGAGGAAGCAUGUUGGCGGGAGAGAUGGGAUCCGAUGAUGUCAUCGUGCCAUCACCAGAGGGCCUGGUGGUUUCUACGGUGAUGAGGGAGACGGUUGCCAUGGGAACAUGACAAGCAGCAGCCGCCCGGUGCUUUGGGGAGUGAUUGGUGGCAGCUCCUCCAGUCCUGAACUCUUGUCCUUUUUACUGUGACUCUCCCUCACCACCUAGACACGUCAGAUGAGCAGAGAGGGAGAUGGAGGAAUGAGACGGAGGAGUGAAAUUCUAGACAAAGAGCAGUGAGGUGAGGCCCCUAUCCACGCAGCCUGAGCCAGGCACCCCUGGAGGCCCUGUGGGGCCCUGCAGCAGAUGUCAAUGGGACAGGUGUCAGACGGCUAGCUGUUGGCAGCCAGCUACAGCACAGAGGUCACCUAAGCAGAGGAGCCUGCCUGUCUAUGACACCGGAGACACUGGAGGUGUUUGGGGUGGAGAGGACAAGUAAGAAGACAUCACUUACACAAUCAAUCAAAUGUAACUUACAUUCAGAGAACUACUCCUCCAGCCAUCCCUUUCUCCCUUUGUGAUGUCAUAUCCUGGCCAGCCGAAUGCAGGUGGGCUCUCCGUCAAUAUGAGGCUUUUGCUGGUCCCACCCCAAAUACACACAGGUAGACACACACACACACACACACACACACACACACACACACACACACACACACACACACACACACACACACACACACACACACACACACACACACACACACACACACACACACACACACACACAUACGUCACGGCAGCACUCGGAUCUCCACGCCAUGAUGGCCGACUUCUUGGGGUUCCUGUUACUACGAAAAACCGUGCGAUGUCAUCAUGUACUUCCGCAAGAACUUCUCCGCUUUCACCUUCACCUUGAGGACAGGCAAUGUGGCUGCGUCGGUCAGAGGAAGGCCCCAAAAACUGUCAAAGGCUCCAGUCACCCAAGUUAUAGACUGUUCUCUCUGCUACCGCACGGCAAGCGGUACCGGAGCGCCAAGUCUAGGUUCAAAAGGCUGCUUAACAGCUUCUACCCCCAAGCCAUAAGACUGCUGAACAAUUAAUCAAAUGGCUACCCAGACUAUUUACAUUGACCCCCUUUUUUACGCUUCUGCUACACGCUGUUUAUUAUCUAUGUACGUAUAGUCCCUUUACCCCUACCUACAUGUACAUAUUACCUCAAUUACCUCAACUUACCCGUACCCCCGCACAUUGACUAGGUACCGGUACCCCCUGUAUAUAGCCUCGUUAUUGUUAUUUUAUUGUAUUACUUAAAAAAUAUAUAUAUUUAGUAAAUCUUUUUUUUAAACUGGAUUGUUGGUUAAGGGCUUGUAAGUAAGCAUUUCACGGUAAUACCUGUUGUAUUCGGCGCAUGUGCCAAAUCAAGUUUGAUUUGAUUU